GAGUUUGAUCUGGCUCAGAGUGAACGCUGGCGGCAGGCCUAACACAUGCAAGUCGAGCGGGGGAAAGUAGCUUGCUACUGGACCUAGCGGCGGACGGGUGAGUAAUGCUUAGGAAUCUGCCUAUUAGUGGGGGACAACAUUCCGAAAGGAAUGCUAAUACCGCAUACGUCCUACGGGAGAAAGCAGGGGACCUUCGGGCCUUGCGCUAAUAGAUGAGCCUAAGUCGGAUUAGCUAGUUGGUGGGGUAAAGGCCUACCAAGGCGACGAUCUGUAGCGGGUCUGAGAGGAUGAUCCGCCACACUGGGACUGAGACACGGCCCAGACUCCUACGGGAGGCAGCAGUGGGGAAUAUUGGACAAUGGGGGGAACCCUGAUCCAGCCAUGCCGCGUGUGUGAAGAAGGCCUUAUGGUUGUAAAGCACUUUAAGCGAGGAGGAGGCUACUAGUAUUAAUACUACUGGAUAGUGGACGUUACUCGCAGAAUAAGCACCGGCUAACUCUGUGCCAGCAGCCGCGGUAAUACAGAGGGUGCGAGCGUUAAUCGGAUUUACUGGGCGUAAAGCGUGCGUAGGCGGCCAUUUAAGUCAAAUGUGAAAUCCCCGAGCUUAACUUGGGAAUUGCAUUCGAUACUGGAUGGCUAGAGUAUGGGAGAGGAUGGUAGAAUUCCAGGUGUAGCGGUGAAAUGCGUAGAGAUCUGGAGGAAUACCGAUGGCGAAGGCAGCCAUCUGGCCUAAUACUGACGCUGAGGUACGAAAGCAUGGGGAGCAAACAGGAUUAGAUACCCUGGGUAGUCCACGCCGUAAACGAUGAGUACUAGGUGUAGGAGGUAUCGACCCCUUCUGUGCCGCAGCUAACGCAUUAAGUACUCCGCCUGGGGAGUACGGUCGCAAGACUGGAACUCAAAGGAAUUGACGGGGACCCGCACAAGCGGUGGAGCAUGUGUUUAAUUCGACGCACGCGAGACCUUUACCAGAUCUGACAUCCCUUGAAUACUGUGUAAUGCAGAAGCCCUUACGGGGCAAG
RNAcentral lists this ribosomal RNA (1022 nucleotides) under uncultured bacterium. RNAcentral's name for it is "bacterial SSU rRNA". It matches the Rfam family "Bacterial small subunit ribosomal RNA", at positions 9 to 1030 of the family's 1533-position model. The record is from RNAcentral.